Molecule: ribosomal RNA, 253 nt
Filed under: uncultured bacterium
Lineage: Bacteria
Description: partial 16S ribosomal RNA
Rfam family: Bacterial small subunit ribosomal RNA
Source: RNAcentral
UACGUAGGGUGUGAGCGUUGUCCGGAAUUAUUGGGCGUAAAGGGCUCGUAGGCGGUUUGUCGCGUCGGGAGUGAAAACGCCGGGCUUAACUCGGUGCUUGCUUUCGAUACGGGCAGACUAGAGGCAUGCAGGGGAGAACGGAAUUCCUGGUGUAGCGGUGAAAUGCGCAGAUAUCAGGAGGAACACCGGUGGCGAAGGCGGUUCUCUGGGCAUGUCCCGACGCUGAGGAGCGAAAGCGUGGGGAGCGAACAGG